Molecule: long non-coding RNA, 1151 nt
Filed under: Parus major (Great Tit)
Lineage: Eukaryota; Metazoa; Chordata; Aves; Passeriformes; Paridae
Description: lncRNA (ENSPMJG00000016600.1)
Source: RNAcentral
UAGGCUGCUUUGCUUUUUUUGGCUUCAAACUGCCACUGAAUGUCAAAUCAAUUUGGCUUUCAUUAGAACAGCUUUAUAUGUGCAAAUGUAUUUGUGUCUGGUUGCUACUUUUUUCUAUUUUUGCUUUCUUUCCCUUUGCUUUUUUUUUCUCCUUUCCCUUGAAUGAUGUAAUUUUUCUCUAAUCAAAGCCAACACCUGUUUCUCUAAAAUAGGAGCCUCUGUGUAAAGCUCUUUAUCACAAUCUGAGUACACUCUAGAUGGGCUCAUUAUGAAUCAAGUUCUCUCAGAACAAAGAGGAAGUGCUCUGCUACAGUGACAUUGUACAUCAUAAAGCCUGGAUAAAGUCAAGAGCUGAUGUAACCUUGACUUUUGACAUGCCAAGAGACUGUUGUCUAGAUAAUGCAAGGUCCUGCAUUACACCCUCGGUGGUGGGAGAUAUGUUUUAAUGUCCCACACAGGAUGAGGUAUAGCACCACCAGCUACCAAAACCAGCAACCAAGAGGAAGGCACACAAGAAGGCUGCUGAUUUUUGUUCUGAAAUACGAAACUAAAAAUUCCGCUAGUGCCUCAAGGCAUUAUUUCUGCUGUGGGGAGGAAACAGAAGAAAUAGGUAUUGUGUAAAGUGAUUCUUCAUUCACUCAAAACAACGGUAAGAUCAUCAAAAAGAUGUAAUGGCUUUUUGGUUUGCUCCUAGACCAGUUACUAUACCUGUGGAGGAGAUAUCUAGAUUUUUGUAAAAUUGGAUAAAGAGCAUUAUCAUAUCCAACAAUCUAACAUGAACUAAUUUAGAAGUAUAAAGAAGCUAAAUGAAAAAAGUGACCUUCCAAACUUGUACUUUAUUGGACUUUUCAUGAAGCAUAAUUUCUUUUAUAUAAUAAUUUCUGAUUAUAAUAAUCAUGACAUAUUUAUACAUGAUAAGGUACACAAUCCACUACUCAGACUGCUUAUAUGAUAUUUUCAGAUGAAUAAUUAAUUUUUUCUGUAAUAAGGCAGCAAUUUAUAACAUGCAAAAUUCCAAAUAAGACUGAUUUUAAAAUGAGGAGAUUGUAAAUAACAUUAUUUAUAUUAUAUGUUUGGGGUCAAUCUCUGCCUGUGAAACAGGAUUGCUAAUAUUUAAUAAAUAUAAAGUAAAUUGAUUCUAAUUAAUAAUU